UACAGAGGGUGCAAGCGUUAAUCGGAUUUACUGGGCGUAAAGCGUGCGUAGGCGGUUUGCUAAGUCGGUUGUGAAAGCCCUGGGCUUAACCUGGGAAUUGCAGUGGAUACUGGCAAGCUAGAGUGCGGUAGAGGAUGGUGGAAUUCCCGGUGUAGCGGUGAAAUGCGUAGAGAUCGGGAGGAACACCCGUGGCGAAGGCGGCCAUCUGGACCAGCACUGACGCUGAGGCACGAAAGCGUGGGGAGCAAACAGG
This 253-nucleotide ribosomal RNA is filed under the name uncultured bacterium. RNAcentral describes it as "partial 16S ribosomal RNA". It matches the Rfam family "Bacterial small subunit ribosomal RNA", at positions 524 to 776 of the family's 1533-position model. The record is from RNAcentral.